CACCAUCAACUGUAGGUAAUACACUGACUAUGGAUAAGUAGCUCAUAUAACCCCACUUCAAAAGAUCCAAACUAUUCCUUCAA
Long non-coding RNA from Etheostoma cragini (Arkansas darter), 83 nucleotides. RefSeq lists it as uncharacterized. NCBI's taxonomy places the organism in Eukaryota, Metazoa, Chordata, Actinopteri, Perciformes, Percidae. The record is from RefSeq and is a predicted model, not a curated record. The transcript has 3 exons.